AUUGAACGCUGGCGGAAUGCCUUACACAUGCAAGUCGAACGGCAGCACGGGAGCAAUCCUGGUGGCGAGUGGCGAACGGGUGAGUAACACGUGGGCAACCAACCUCCACAUCGGGAUACCCCGGGGAAACUCGGAUCAAUACCGGAUAAUGCGCGACGCUGUUGGGCGUCGCACCAAAGGUAGCUUCGGCCUCUGGUGAAGGACGGGCCCGCGGCCCAUUAGCUUGUUGGUGGGGUAAUGGCCUACCAAGGCAACGAUGGGGUAGCUGGUCUGAGAGGAUGAUCAGCCACACUGGGACUGAGAUACGGCCCAGACUCCUACGGGGAGGCAGCAGUGGGGAAUAUUGCGCAA
RNAcentral lists this ribosomal RNA (351 nucleotides) under uncultured bacterium. RNAcentral describes it as "bacterial SSU rRNA". It matches the Rfam family "Bacterial small subunit ribosomal RNA", at positions 30 to 371 of the family's 1533-position model. The record is from RNAcentral.